CAGUAGCCGCGGUAAUACGAAGGGGGCUAGCGUUGUUCGGAUUUACUGGGCGUAAAGGGCGCGUAGGCGGGCGAAUAAGUCAGGGGUGAAAUCCCAAGGCUCAACCUUGGAACUGCCUUUGAUACUGUUUGUCUUGAGUUCGAGAGAGGUAAGUGGAACUGCGAGUGUAGAGGUGAAAUUCGUAGAUAUUCGCAAGAACACCAGUGGCGAAGGCGGCUUACUGGCUCGAAACUGACGCUGAAGCGCGAAAGCGUGGGGAGCAAACAGGAUUAGAGACCCCUGUAGUCCCUGUCUCUUAUAC
RNAcentral lists this ribosomal RNA (301 nucleotides) under uncultured bacterium. RNAcentral describes it as "partial 16S ribosomal RNA". It matches the Rfam family "Bacterial small subunit ribosomal RNA", at positions 509 to 807 of the family's 1533-position model. The record is from RNAcentral.